CAGCCGUAAACUAUGCGCGUUAGGUGUACUGGUGACCACGAGUCACCGGGGUGCCGAAGGGAAACCGUGAAACGUGCCGCCUGGGAAGUACGGUCGCAAGGCUGAAACUUAAAGGAAUUGGCGGGGGAGGCACCACAACGGGUGGAGCCUGCGGUUUAAUUUGGACUCAACGCCGGAAAUCUCACCGGAUAGGACAGACAUAUGAUAGUCGGGCUGAAGACUCUACUUGAUGAUCUGAGAGGUGGUGCAUGGCGUCAGU
Molecule: ribosomal RNA, 259 nt
Filed under: uncultured archaeon
Lineage: Archaea
Description: partial 16S ribosomal RNA
Rfam family: Archaeal small subunit ribosomal RNA
Source: RNAcentral